CAGUCGCCACGGUAAUACGAAGGGUGCAAGCGUUAAUCGGAAUUACUGGGCGUAAAGCGUGCGUAGGCGGUUUGUUAAGUCUGCUGUGAAAUCCCCGGGCUCAACCUGGGAAUGGCAGUGGAUACUGGCAAGCUAGAGUGUGUCAGAGGAUGGUGGAAUUCCCGGUGUAGCGGUGAAAUGCGUAGAGAUCGGGAGGAACAUCAGUGGCGAAGGCGGCCAUCUGGGACAACACUGACGCUGAGGCACGAAAGCGUGGGGAGCAAACAGGAUUAGAUACCCCGGUAGUCCCUGUCUCUUAUAC
This 301-nucleotide ribosomal RNA is filed under the name uncultured bacterium. RNAcentral describes it as "partial 16S ribosomal RNA". It matches the Rfam family "Bacterial small subunit ribosomal RNA", at positions 509 to 807 of the family's 1533-position model. The record is from RNAcentral.